UAGGGAAUCUUCUGCAAUGGACGAAAGUCUGACCGAGCAACGCCGCGUGGGUGAAGAAGGUUUUCGGAUCGUAAAACUCUGUUGUUUGAGAAGAACAAGGACGUUAGUAACCGAACGUCCCCUGACGGUAUCUAACCAGAAAGCCACGGCUAACUACGUGCCAGCAGCCGCGGUAAUACGUAGGUGGCAAGCGUUGUCCGGAUUUAUUGGGCGUAAAGCGAGCGCAGGCGGUUUCUUAAGUCUGAUGUGAAAGCCCCCGGCUCAACAGGGGAGGGUCAUUGGAAACUGGUAGAGUUGGGUGCAGAAGAGGAGAGUGGAAUUCCAGGUGUAGCGGUGAAUGGCGUAGAUAUAUGGAGGAACACCAGUGGCGAAGGCGGCUCUCUGGUCUGUAACUGACGCUGAGGCUCGAAGGCGUGGGGAGCAAACAGG
RNAcentral lists this ribosomal RNA (429 nucleotides) under Gemmatimonadota bacterium. RNAcentral describes it as "Gemmatimonadetes bacterium partial 16S ribosomal RNA". It matches the Rfam family "Bacterial small subunit ribosomal RNA", at positions 355 to 776 of the family's 1533-position model. Lineage: Bacteria; Pseudomonadati; Gemmatimonadota. The record is from RNAcentral.